UGUGCCAGCCGCCGCGGUAAUACGGAGGAUCCGAGCGUUAUCCGGAUUUAUUGGGUUUAAAGGGUGCGUAGGCGGAAUAAUAAGUCAGUUGUGAAAGUUUGCGGCUCAACCGUAAAAUUGCAGUUGAUACUGUUAUUCUUGAGUGUACAUAAGGUAGGCGGAAUUCGUGGUGUAGCGGUGAAAUGCUUAGAUAUCACGAAGAACUCCAAUUGCGAAGGCAGCUUACCGGGGUACAACUGACGCUGAGGCACGAAAGUGUGGGUAUCAAACAGGAUUAGAUACCCUGGUAGUCCACACAGUAAACGAUGAAUACUCGCUGUUUGCGAUAUACCGCAAGCGGCCAAGCGAAAGCAUUAAGUAUUCCACCUGGGGAGUACGCCGGCAACGGUGAAACUCAAAGGAAUUGACGGGGGCCCGCACAAGCGGAGGAACAUGUGGUUUAAUUCGAUGAUACGCGAGGAACCUUACCCAGGCUUAAAUUGCAGAUGAAUAUAGUGGAAACAUUAUAGCCAGCAAUGGCAUCUGUGAAGGUGCUGCAUGGUUGUCGUCAGCUCGUGCCGUGAGGUGUCGGCUUAAGUGCCAUAACGAGCGCAACCCUUAUUGAUAGUUACUAACAGGUUAAGCUGAGGACUCUAUCAAGACUGCCGUCGUAAGAUGCGAGGAAGGUGGGGAUGACGUCAAAUCAGCACGGCCCUUACGUCUGGGGCUACACACGUGUUACAAUGGGGGUACAGAAGGUCGCUACCUGGCAACAGGAUGCUAAUCCCAAAAACCUCUCACAGUUCGGAUUGGAGUCUGCAACUCGACUCCAUGAAGCUGGAUUCGCUAGUAAUCGCGCAUCAGCCACGGCGCGGUGAAUACGUUCCCGGGCCUUGUACACACCGCCCGUCAAGCCAUGGGAGCCGGGGGUACCUGAAGUACGUAACCGUAAGGAGCGUCCUAGGGUAAAACUGGUGACUGGGGCUA
This 966-nucleotide ribosomal RNA is filed under the name uncultured bacterium. RNAcentral's name for it is "bacterial SSU rRNA". It matches the Rfam family "Bacterial small subunit ribosomal RNA", at positions 504 to 1483 of the family's 1533-position model. The record is from RNAcentral.